RNAcentral lists this ribosomal RNA (253 nucleotides) under uncultured bacterium. RNAcentral describes it as "partial 16S ribosomal RNA". It matches the Rfam family "Bacterial small subunit ribosomal RNA", at positions 524 to 776 of the family's 1533-position model. The record is from RNAcentral.
UACGGAGGAUCCAAGCGUUAUCCGGAUUUAUUGGGUUUAAAGGGCGCGUAGGCGGGCCAUAAAGUCAGGGGUGAAAUCCUCCAGCUUAACUGGAGAACUGCCUUUGAUACUGAUGGUCUCGAGUAAGGUAGGGGCAUGCGGAACUGAUGGUGGAGCGGUGAAAUGUGUUGAUAUCAUCAGGAACUCCGGUGGCGAAGGCGGCAUGCUGGACCUUCACUGACGCUGAGGCGCGAAAGCUAGGGGAGCGAACGGG